Molecule: ribosomal RNA, 497 nt
Filed under: uncultured bacterium
Lineage: Bacteria
Description: partial 16S ribosomal RNA
Rfam family: Bacterial small subunit ribosomal RNA
Source: RNAcentral
GAUGAACGCUGGCGGCGUGCCUAAUACAUGCAAGUCGAGCGAACAGAUAAGGAGCUUGCUCCUUUGACGUUAGCGGCGGACGGGUGAGUAACACGUGGGUAACCUACCUAUAAGACUGGGAUAACUUCGGCAAACCGGAGCUAAUACCGGAUAACAUUUGGAACCGCAUGGUUCUAAAGUGAAAGAUGGUUUUGCUAUCACUUAUAGAUGGACCCGCGCCGUAUUAGCUAGUUGGUAAGGUAACGGCUUACCAAGGCAACGAUACGUAGCCGACCUGAGAGGGUGAUCGGCCACACUGGAACUGAGACACGGUCCAGACUCCUACGGGAGGCAGCAGUAGGGAAUCUUCCGCAAUGGGCGAAAGCCUGACGGAGCAACGCCGCGUGAGUGAUGAAGGGUUUCGGCUCGUAAAACUCUGUUAUUAGGGAAGAACAAACGUGUAAGUAACUGUGCACGUCUUGACGGUACCUAAUCAGAAAGCCACGGCUAACUACGUG